RNAcentral lists this ribosomal RNA (253 nucleotides) under uncultured bacterium. RNAcentral's name for it is "partial 16S ribosomal RNA". It matches the Rfam family "Bacterial small subunit ribosomal RNA", at positions 524 to 776 of the family's 1533-position model. The record is from RNAcentral.
UACGUAGGGGGCUAGCGUUGUCCGGAUUUAUUGGGCGUAAAGAGCGUGUAGGCGGCCAUGUAGGUCCGGUGUGAAAACUCGAGGCUUAACCUCGAGAUGUCAUCGGAAACCAUUUGGCUAGAGUCCGGAAGAGGAGAGUGGAAUUCCUGGUGUAGCGGUGAAAUGCGCAGAUAUCAGGAGGAACACCGAUGGCGAAGGCAGGUCUCUGGGCAUUAACUGACGCUGAGGAGCGAAAGCAUGGGGAGCGAACAGG